Long non-coding RNA from Cavia porcellus (domestic guinea pig), 3489 nucleotides. RefSeq lists it as uncharacterized. The record is from RefSeq and is a predicted model, not a curated record. The transcript is spliced from 3 exons. Lineage: Eukaryota; Metazoa; Chordata; Mammalia; Rodentia; Caviidae.
CUUUGGCUCGCAGUUUCAUGGUUUCAGUCCCUGGUCAGUUGGGCCCAGAGCCCUGUGCACCGGGGAGACAGAAACAUCACGGUGGGGGAGCACAGGGAAGCAGAGCUUCUCACCUCACUACAUCUGGGAAUCAGGGAGAAGGAAAGAGCCAGAAAGGAAAGGGACCGGGACCAGGUACAGUCCCCAAGAGGUCACACUGCCAUGACCUGCUCCCUUCAACGAGGGCCCACGCCAUUCUGAGCUGGGUAGGAGAAGCGUGAUCACACUGGGCAGUGACAGGAGAAAGUAUGGACACCUGGGAUCCAGAUUUUGGGAGUCUGGGUUCUUUCUUCAUCAGCAACCUGGUGGGUGACCAUCAGUCCUCGAAGCAGCCAUUUGUGUCUGUUGAUCUUCACACAUGGAUGACCGGCUGGGUCCUGUCAGACAGAGAAAAUACGGGAUGAAAUGCGAUGCCCAUGGCACAGGCCUCCCCCACCCCACUUUGUUGCAUUACAACUGGGUGGGGCAGGGGGCACCCAGGGGGAACUUUGAGGUGGCUUCAAAUGACAACUUAUUUAAAUAACAAGAGCAUUGCUUCCUGCUGCUCAUCCCUCCUACCAAAGGUGUCUUCUCUUAGCCCAGGUGCUGAGACUGGGGAGCCCCAAACCCAGCACCCUGGCAGGAAGGCCUGGGCUUUAGGGGAGCUCCGCAGCAUCUCAGCUGAAGGCCAGACUCACAGUUCACUGGUUCUGUCCCUUUGUACCUCUGCUGAUGAAACUUUGCACCUUGCCUGAUCUUUACUGUUCUACUGAUGAUUAGUACGAAUAUGACCUUCCACUGUUACAGAAGUUUCAACAUUUUCCUCCAAACACUUGCUUGAUUAGUUUACUCCGUUGUCUUUGCAGACUGUCCCUUUCCAGCUAUCAGAGAUUUUACCUGGGUGGCUGUCCUGGAGACUGGGACUAAGAAGAAUCCAGUUUUCCUUCUGGGGCUGGGUGCUGACCCCACCCCCAAGGGGCAUCCAGGGUCCGAGGCUGCAGUGGCUGGGGGUGGAUGAGCUAUGGGUGGGGAGACUGAGGCCAGAAGAGUGGCUGAGCUGGGGUGAGCCUGCAGGGCUCGUCCUUCUCCAGGGCUCCCCACUGCACCCCACUAUUCCCAGGCCAGGCCCCUCCUCAGUGAUAGCGAUUCUGAGCUCUGCAAAGGGCCUCCCCUCCGGGCUGGGUCUCAGCCUGGAGUGAGGGACAGGACACCUAGGCCAGCCCUGAUCCCAACUGUCCCUUGCUCUUCUGGUCUUGCUUUUUUGUCCCCCAGCCUUCCUCUCCCUGCUACUGCAGCCCCUGACUCCUUCCUGAGGCCUCACUCCUUCCUCACACGCUGUGGUUUGGGCAGGCCAUUCCUAGCCAUUUGGGACUGAACUGGACUUUGGUAUGGCUUGGACCCCGAGAUUUGGAAGCAUGUCUUGGGUGUUUCUUUUUCCUUUUUUCUUUUUUUUUGGGAGAUGGGGUGAGGGGUAUAAGACAGGGUCUUGCAAUAUAGUUCAGAAUGGCCUUGAACUCACUAUGCAGCCCAGGCUGGCCUCAAAUUCACAGCGAUCCUCCUGCCUCAGCCUUCCUGAAUUCUGUGAUUACAGGUGUGCAUCACCACGCCCGGCUUCUCUUGGUGUUUCUAAAACACAGCCAGGUUUGAAAAACCAGGGCUUCUUCCCCUGCCCUGACAUCACUGUAGAGAGGAGAUCUCUUUGAGGGAUGGACAUUCGGCCUGAGGCUCCUCUGUCCCUCAGGCUUCAGAACCACUGAAGCACUUCUGGGGUGUCAGAAACAGCACGUGUGCCGAGGGAGAGGCCAGGACAAGCAGCAAAGGUGACAGACACACUGUGCGCCCUCACGUUCCGGACCCCAGCCUGACACGAGGACUUAGGGGACCCCAGAGGAGCCAGCAUAGCUAGUGAGACUCAGACAGACCUCAGAAGCCCUGCAGCAAGUUCUUCAGAGGUGCCACACACUUUGGGAUUUCUAGGGUUGCUGCUCCGAGGAGCAGAAUAAAGGUUCAGUAGUGCAAGCUUGGGAAACAGAGUUCACUAAUUGGUCCACUCAGUAAACACUGAAAAUAUAAUGUGUGUCCGUGUUCUAGGGACACAAACAUAGCAGUGAACAGAAUGGAUCAAAGCACGAAGAAAAAAACAAAAACCAACCCAAACCCAACAAAAUAAAGCAAACAAAACCUCAUUUGGAGCUUAGAGGCUGGAAAGGAGGUCGAAGCAUUUUCUCUUGUGCAGGACUUCUCAGUGCCUAUAAUAUAUUAAUGGGCAUCACCAGAAGGGGAUAAAACAUGCUGUGUUUCCCAGAACUACUGGACCUGAGAAAUUUUGCCAUGCAAGACACUUGGAGAACUCAGUGUUCUUUAACAAAUGGAUGCUAAAGCUCUAACCCACCCAGCUUCCUGGCAUACAGAUGGUGAGGGGAGAGUGUGAUCGUAUGUAAGGUCACCAGGACUGCUCACACCAAAGUCAGGUUUCCCCAUCUUCAUGUCCAUCUCCCGCCCCACUCUGUGAUGCCUGAGAUCUGGGGGUGCUGUGAACCCAGAUGCUUUGAGAUAAAGAGCCGCAGGCUCCCAUAGUCCCAGUGGGCACCCAGACUGUGUCCUGCUGAGAUGUCCACCUCUGACCGCCGGUUCAUGUCCCACGACCUCUCCCUGAGCUCAGCCUGCUGCUAUGAGGUGCUGUACCUGCCUCUUGGGAAAGGAGGCAAACGGGGACACGGGGUGGAACGUUGAGACUGCUGGGGACAGUCACUUUGUGAAAGCGUGGCCACAGCCUGAGGAAGCUGUCUGCUUUCUUUGGUUACCCUCAGGUGCUCUGAUGUCUUCUGGACCAAAUUUGGUGUCCAGAAUGGGCGAAGAGCUUGCAGUGUUCAGAGGUGAAUUUUCAAAACACGGAAGGCAGAUGGUGGCACACAGGUAUAAGGUCAGCUGUGUGGCAUCACCAGUCGGUGCGUCUCUAGGUGCUGCCAAACCCUGCAACAGGCGGGAGACAUCACAUCCUGCUGAGGAGCAGUCCAGGCUCUGGGAGGUGAAAGUGCUUUUUCACGUCAGAUCCGGCCCGCACUGGUCUGAGUUGAGAGCUGAGUUCUUCCCACUCACAGUGGUAACACUGUGUGGCCAGCACAGUGUUACCAAACCUCGAGCAGCCAGUGUUCCCGAGAGGCGGCUAUGGGCAGUCCCUGAGGAGCACAGGAGGCUGAGCAGCCUGAGCCGGGGCUUCUCACUACUUAGUGGCCCUGGCUUCCUUCCCUUUCUGGGAUUUUCCACUUUCCCCCAUUUGUGCUUUCUUCCUAAAAACACCAAAACCUUAUAAUAAAAUAAAACGAUCAGUGUCAUCACGAACCCAGUUACUGCUACCUGCUGGUUUCUUUUCUCACUAUUUCCAAUUUCUUAAUAUUGUAUCUUUGACUUCAUGACUUUUCAACAACCCUCCAAAGGAUCUUAACGUUUUUCCUAAACUAAAAUAAAAAU